RNAcentral lists this transfer RNA (68 nucleotides) under Sirembo imberbis (golden cusk). Its description in RNAcentral is "tRNA-Phe". Lineage: Eukaryota; Metazoa; Chordata; Actinopteri; Ophidiiformes; Ophidiidae. The record is from RNAcentral.
AUCAACGUAGCUUAAAUAAAGCGCAACACUGAAGUUGUUAAGAUGGGCCCUAGAAAGCUCCGUAGGUA